This 69-nucleotide transfer RNA is filed under the name Holothuria fuscogilva. Its description in RNAcentral is "tRNA-Trp". It matches the Rfam family "tRNA". Rfam says of the family: Transfer RNA (tRNA) molecules are approximately 80 nucleotides in length. Their secondary structure includes four short double-helical elements and three loops (D, anti-codon, and T loops). The record is from RNAcentral. Lineage: Eukaryota; Metazoa; Echinodermata; Holothuroidea; Aspidochirotida; Holothuriidae.
AAAGACUUAAGUUAAAAAGACUGUGAGCCUUCAAAGCUUAAUGCGCAGGUUUAAUCCCUGCAGUCUUUG